GAUGAACGCUGGCGGCGUGCCUAAUACAUGCAAGUCGAGCGAACAGAUAAGGAGCUUGCUCCUUUGACGUUAGCGGCGGAAGGGUGAGUAACACGUGGGUAACCUACCUAUAAGACUGGGAUAACUUCGGGAAACCGGAGCUAAUACCGGAUAAUAUUUCGAACCGCAUGGUUCGAUAGUGAAAGAUGGUUUUGCUAUCACUUAUAGAUGGACCCGCGCCGGAUUAGCUAGUUGGUAAGGUAACGGCUUACCAAGGCGACGAUACGUAGCCGACCUGAGAGGGUGAUCGGCCACACUGGAACUGAGACACGGUCCAGACUCCUACGGGAGGCAGCAGUAGGGAAUCUUCCGCAAUGGGCGAAAGCCUGACGGAGCAACGCCGCGUGAGUGAUGAAGGUCUUCGGAUCGUAAAACUCUGUUAUUAGGGAAGAACAUACGUGUAAGUAACUGUGCACGUCUUGACGGUACCUAAUCAGAAAGCCACGGCUAACUACGUG
RNAcentral lists this ribosomal RNA (497 nucleotides) under uncultured bacterium. Its description in RNAcentral is "partial 16S ribosomal RNA". It matches the Rfam family "Bacterial small subunit ribosomal RNA", at positions 28 to 507 of the family's 1533-position model. The record is from RNAcentral.